Molecule: ribosomal RNA, 115 nt
Filed under: Staphylococcus capitis
Lineage: Bacteria; Bacillati; Bacillota; Bacilli; Caryophanales; Staphylococcaceae
Source: RNAcentral
UCUGGUGACAAUGGCAAGGAGGUCACACCUGUUCCCAUGCCGAACACAGAAGUUAAGCUCCUUAGCGCCGAUGGUCGUCGGGCUUACGUCCCGCUAGAGUAGGACGUUGCCAGGC